Molecule: ribosomal RNA, 1010 nt
Filed under: Pseudoniphargus unisexualis
Lineage: Eukaryota; Metazoa; Arthropoda; Malacostraca; Amphipoda; Allocrangonyctidae
Description: 16S ribosomal RNA
Rfam family: Archaeal large subunit ribosomal RNA (bases 794-952)
Source: RNAcentral
GUAAUUUUAUUUAGUUAAAGAAUUUCAUUUUAGUACCUUUUGUAUUAGGGUUAGUUAAUUUUUUUAGUUAACUUAGUUCUCGAAAUCAAGAGUGUUAAAUAUAUUAGUUUAAGUGUUAAAUAAUUAUAUUUAUAUAUUUAGUAGAGAAAUUUUUUCGUUCUUUAAGAUAGCUAGUUAUUUUGGAGUUAUAGGGUAAUUGGGUUUAGCUUUUUAUUCAUUUAUAUUUUAUAUGGUUAUUGUAGAUUAGGCUUAAGAUUAGCUAUAUUUAUAGUUUGUUUUAAAUAUUUUAUUAUGUAAAUUUUAGUGCAUUAGAUAUAUAUUCUUUAAUUAUAUUCAAUUAUUUUUUGUAAGAUAUAAUGAUUAAAUUAGUAAUUUUUUUUACUGCAAGAUAUAACUUGUCUUUUAUAGAAUAGUUUAACAAAAACAUUUCUUUUUUUUAAAAAGUAGGGCCUGCCCAGUGUCUUUUAAACGGCUGCGGUAUUUUGACUGUGCUAAGGUAGCAUAAUAAUUUGUUUUUUAAUUGUAAACUGGUAUGAAAGGUUUUAUUUAUAAUAGUUAUUAAUUUUAGGGUAAAUAAUUUAUAUUUGUAGUAAAAAUACUGUAAUUUGUUAAAGUGACGAUAAGACCCUACAAGCUUUAUUUUUAUUGGUUAGUAUUUAUAAGAAUUAAUUUAUUUUUAGCUUUAUUUAUUUUACUGGGGCAGUAAUAUUAUGUAAAUUAAUAUAGUUGUUGUACAUUUGUUAGUGUGUUUAAAGGCUUUAAAAUAAGAAUGACAAGAGUAAGUUACUGUAGGGAUAACAGCGCAAUGGUUUUGGAGAGGCCUUAUCGAUAAGACUGAUUGCGACCUCGAUGUUGAAUUAAAAUUUCUUUUUGUUGUAGCAGAUAAAUUAGAGGGUUUGUUCAACCUUUAAAAUUUUACAUGAUUUGAGUUCAAAUCGGUUUAAGCCAGAUUGGUUUCUAUCUUUUAGACUAUAUAAUAGGCGUAAGUACGAAAGGGACAUGCCUAUUUU